AGAAAGCUAACCGACGCUUGAGUUUAGCAACACAGAAAGGAAGAAUCCCGAGAUGAAAAUACACCCUGACACAAGCGGGCUAUAAUUUAGCUAACGAGGCUGUAAAUAACGAGCUAUAAAGCGACAGUUGCUACAACAGUUGUAACAACAACGGGCUUAAUGGUUGCGGACGCAACAAAUUGACUUCUGCGGUAGGAGCACGGAAAACUUUAAAACUGUAAGGAAACUAGGACUUUCCCGAGCAGUUGAGUGACAGUAGGUUUUAAUAUAGGAAUACGUACAUAAAUUUCUCACGGGAAUUUGUAAUACAUACCGAGGAAAAAAUGCAUGUGUGGUAAAUGUCUACACGUAGUGAAAAAAGUGUGAGAAAAAUGCAAAAACACGAAGCCUGGCAUUUUAGCUAAAUACGAACACAGAAACAAAGACUAGGAGGCAACGGCAGCACAUAUCUCGACGCUUCGCUAACACACUUACCUGUUGUAGGUCCAAAAAAAUCCGCAGUAUUAGGAGGACCGUGUGGGAGUCAGGAGUCGGAUGUGGGGUUUUGGGACUAAGUGAGGUCGUUGCAUCAGCCCGUUUAAGUACUGAACUCGGCUCAGGAAUGCGGAACUGCUGCGUCAGACGUAAGCAUGGAUGAAAAUAGGAGGACGACUGAGGCCCCGCCCAUAGCAACAAGAAAACAUACACAGACUGCAGAGAGGAAAGUUUCAGCCCGGAGGACACACGGAGAGAAAGAGAUACGCACUCCCGGAUACAGCUGAGAAGUUGUGCCACAAUUUGAAAAUGGAUGUAAACAGCGCUGUCACCCCCAAACACUGCUAUUGUUUUCUGGUGAUGCAAGAGGAGACUGAAUCUGCCUGAACAUGCCCACCUCUUCUCCAACGGGAAAAGCCUUGGGGAGGUGCAGCUCAUAGAUGUUGCUGAAUGCCUAAUGCUACUGUCACAUCAACUUAGAAAAUCAAUGCUGCUUAUUCUUGCUUUUCCUUCAGGUACCAAAAAAGAAUGCUUUAUGCAGUUUUCUGUGGUGCUAUUGUUUUAUCGAGAUAUGGUUACUUCUUCCACCACAGGCAGCAUUAUGUUUAACCACCAAAGAUAUAACCAAAACAGAAAAGCAUGACGGUAGUGCAGUAAAAUAAAUGUUUACAUUAUUUGAUUAAUGUGAUAUGAUUAGUCACUUUAAUACGAAAUAAUCUGUAAUAAAGAAGAUUUUCCAAACACCUACACUAUAUUGCCUUCACACGCAUAUGAACUUGAGGAACAUCCCAUUCUUAAUCUAAAG
Neolamprologus brichardi is the source of this 1279-nucleotide long non-coding RNA. RefSeq lists it as uncharacterized. The record is from RefSeq and is a predicted model, not a curated record. NCBI's taxonomy places the organism in Eukaryota, Metazoa, Chordata, Actinopteri, Cichliformes, Cichlidae.